RNAcentral lists this transfer RNA (70 nucleotides) under Axis axis (chital). RNAcentral describes it as "tRNA-Thr". RNAcentral also lists the same sequence under 1 other name. The record is from RNAcentral. Lineage: Eukaryota; Metazoa; Chordata; Mammalia; Artiodactyla; Cervidae.
GUCUUUGUAGUAUACUGAAUACACUGGUCUUGUAAAUCAGAAAAGGAGAGUAAUUAACCUCCCUAAGACU